UGACCACAUCACAUUGAAGCACCAGUUCCCAUACAAUCACCAAAGUUAAACAAUGUUGAGCUUGGUCAGUACCAAGAUGGAUGACCACUUGGAAGUACCAGGUAGUGU
This is a non-coding RNA of Acanthosepion pharaonis, 108 nucleotides long. The record is from the annotation of a GenBank genome assembly. NCBI's taxonomy places the organism in Eukaryota, Metazoa, Mollusca, Cephalopoda, Sepiida, Sepiidae.